GGGCCGGCCGGUUUUGCGCCCUCUCUGUCGUGCUGCCGUGUGACGCCGGCCGCGGCAGAAAGCGAAAGCUCGACCGCUCGAGACUGGAGCGGCGCGACGGCGUGGCUCGCCCUGGUUCUUGUCAGCGGCCGCGGCUGCGAACUGGCGGUGUGGAGGAGGGCGGGCGGCGCACGCGUCUGGGUCUCCCGUCUGCGCUCCCAUCGCGUAGAUUUCUACAAACUGGCAGCCAGUCUAGCCUGCAGAAGAUCAAGGACAGACCUUGAGAAGACGGCGACGAGCUCAUUGGUGUGCACAGAGAGGGAAUCGCCGAUGCGCUCCCUCACGCUGUGGAUACGGCUCAGGGCGCGCUCUCCGGCAGUCUCCCCCAUUGCUAUCCUCAAACCUGAACGGCAGAAACAGUCAUGUAAAUCUGAAUAGCAGAAACAGUGAAGCCUCCUCCUAGACAACAGGGCGCUCUGUCCUAGUAGCAACGAUGCAUGAGCUCUACUGAUAAAUAGAGCCAAAGGAAGAAGAAAGGUUGGCGUGACGUGCAAGAGUGCCUAGAAGGCUGUGCUUUGGGAACCAGAUCGUGGGAUUAGCGUGAGAUGUGUUGUAGCCGUUUCUUGCGUGGCUUGGCAAGCUAAUUAAAACUGACCAAAAUAUGAGUGAGCACAGGAGCACGGAACUAUUGCCGGGCUCUCCAGUAAAGGGCAUGCAGAUAAUAGAAAUGGAUCAGGUAAUUUAGUAGUGUAAUACAAAGACAUGCACAUGAUCCACAGAGCAAGUGGCUUAUGUGAGAUAUGUGAGGAGCACUGUAACUCUUAAUUACUGGCCUUGGAAAAACUUUGUUGCAAAGUUAAUAGCCCCUUUAACAAGUUGCAUAAAAGAGGGAGCGGAAAAACUGCUAGAUUUAUUUUUGCAUUCCGGGAACUUCGAAUAUGCUCUCAGAAAACAGAAGAAAAUUUCAGACUGAAGACAAGCCUGGCCUCCCCGGAGGAGGAUGUCACAGGCAUGCAGGAUACGGACCGAGAUCAGGAUACGCAGUUCUGCACUGGAUCUCUACGGUACUGCCAUACGCCCAUACGCCUACACCGAUCCAGUGUACUAACCGGCGUAAUAAUCACAUGGAUCUCCCAGCAGUUCACCCACUCUACCAUCCUAGUUCCAAUUCCAGAACACAAAAGAGAAGAUCUCCCUUUGUUCUAGCUACAGCAACCAAAAGAGAAGAUCUCCAGGGCCCGGACCCAAGUGCAUGCGUGCAUGCAGGGACCAAGAAAGCCAAAUUGAUCGACAAGCCUGACCCAAACUUUUCUUAUCAGUAUAUAUACUCUCGAACCUAAGCUGAAGAAAGUAGAAAGAGAAUUUCGCAUGCAGCACCUCACUUGAAUCACUGAAACUAGGCUAGCCCCACAGACCUCCGUAUGGCCCCAACCGUACCCAUACUAUGUGCAAGUACCAUGAAAAGAAGCCAUGUCCAGUUACCUUGCUCCAGAGGAGGGAGGAGGGAGGGCGAGAAACAAGGAAACGUCACAGGGGAGCAGGCGGCCCGGGUUUGGUGCGCGGUGAGGGCGAG
Molecule: long non-coding RNA, 1552 nt
Organism: Aegilops tauschii subsp. strangulata
Lineage: Eukaryota; Viridiplantae; Streptophyta; Magnoliopsida; Poales; Poaceae
Source: RefSeq, a predicted model, not a curated record